GGGCCCCGCCCCAAGCGGGAGGAACCAUGUGGUUUAAUUCGAUGAUACGCGAGGAACCUUACCUGGGCUUAAAUGUAGAACGACGGACCGGGAAACUGGUCUUUCUUCGGACGGUCUGCAAGGUGCUGCAUGGCUGUCGUCAGCUCGUGCCGUGAGGUGUCGGGUUAAGUCCCAUAACGAGCGCAACCCUCAUCAUUAGUUGCCAGCGGGUAAUGCCGGGGACUCUAAUGAAACUGCCGGUGUAAACCGAGAGGAAGGUGGGGAUGACGUCAAGUCAGCACGGCCCUUAUGUCCAGGGCUACACACGUGUUACAAUGGUCGGUACAAAGGGCAGCUACCUGGCGACAGGAUGCUAAUCUCGAAAACCGAUCUCAGUUCGGAUCGAAGUCUGCAACUCGACUUCGUGAAGCUGGAUUCGCUAGUAAUCGCGCAUCAGCCAUGGCGCGGUGAAUACGUUCCCGGGCCUUGUACACACCGCCCGUCAAGCCAUGGAAGCUGGGGGUACCUGAAGUCCGUAACCGCAAGGAGCGGCCUAGGGUAAAACUAGUAACUGGGGCUAAGUCUGUAACAAGGUAACC
RNAcentral lists this ribosomal RNA (578 nucleotides) under uncultured organism. Its description in RNAcentral is "bacterial SSU rRNA". It matches the Rfam family "Bacterial small subunit ribosomal RNA", at positions 916 to 1501 of the family's 1533-position model. The record is from RNAcentral.